Molecule: long non-coding RNA, 932 nt
Filed under: Sus scrofa (pig)
Lineage: Eukaryota; Metazoa; Chordata; Mammalia; Artiodactyla; Suidae
Description: lncRNA (ENSSSCG00055026964.1)
Source: RNAcentral
AGUCCUUUCCAGCAUACCUUGCAGUGUACUGGACAUCAGAUAACACAAGCUGCACUAGCACUAAAGGCAGGGAGAAAACAGCAGUACUUUUGGAGUUCCUGUCUUGGCUCUGCAGACACGAAUCUAACCUAGUAUCCAUGAGGACGUGGGUUCGAUCCCUGGCCUUGCUCAGUGGGUCAGGGAUUCAGCACUGCUGUGAACUGCGGUGUAGGUUGUAACGCGACUUGGACACCGCAUCACUGUGGCUGUGGCACAGGCUCGCGGUAGCUCUGAUUCAGACCCCCUAGUCCAGGAACCUUGAUAUGCCUAAAAAGACAAAAAAAAAAAAAAAAAAAAAGGAGGGGGUAGUAUUUUUAUAAAAGCCUUUUAUGGCCCUAGUUUUAUAAGAAAAAGAGAAUAAAAUAUUAUAUUACCUGUUGUCCAGAACACUGUUUAUCAUUUUUAAAACAUUUAUUAUUUCUCCCUAGUUCCUGAGCGGGCAUUUCUUGUUGAAAUACCCUGGCAUUGAUCUAUUAGAAGAUUUAUCAAAUUUAAAGCCCACUAAUCCUAGUACCUUUCAUGGUUGCGUAUGUUUCAGAAUCUCACUGCACAUCUUGAUCAAGACCAGGAGCGAGGAUACACAGCCAGUGCUUCACGAGUGGACUGAAGAGAAAAGGCAUCCAGCUGCACGGAGUGGGGAUGGGAUUGAGGCACUAACACCCACUUCAGGGGCACCAGGUGUCACUAAUAAUUAAGAUUAUCUGUGGUAUAAAUCCGGCUGUUUCGGAGCGUUCCCUACAACCACUUUGGGAUCCAGCGUUCCGGCGUCCGGUAAGUGAGUUGGCUUUUUUCUCUUUGUAUUUAAUUUUUAAAAAUUGUGUUGCUGUUUGUAUCCUUUUGUCUUCUCUUCCUUUUGGCUUUAGGUCUUAAAUAAAGUCCAUCCUGUAGUCUCA